AGGCAAAUUUGAAUAUCUAAUUGUCCUCUCCCCAUAGAGAUUAUUCUCCCAUUGUUUGCCUUAGAGGUCAUGAAGUAUAUUUUCAUUAAUAAGAUGUAAAAUAGUGGCCUCUCCUUCUAGAAAAUCUCAGAAAAAGGAGGCGAAGAGAAUCUGAGCUCUUCUGCCUACUGAAGAGACACUGGCAUGUCAGGACAUGGUAUGUGACCUUCAAAGAGUAGAGAAGGUCUUGGAGUUGAUAGAUGCAGCCUGGGUCACCGGGAUUGAACCUUUCACAGAGCAUAAUCCAGAUGAGCAGGUAACUCACCUGAGGCCAACACACCUGUGCUGUUCCUAAACCACAGUCUGGAGAGCCCUGAAAUCCACAUUGAGACAUCCUACCACCCUGCCCAAGACAAAAUGUUCCAGAUUUCUCAAGGGAAGAGAGACCAUUCAGAAACAGAGAUGAAUCUCUCUAAUGAGAAGACAAAUAGUAGUUAGAACGCUGGCUUUCUUCCCCAAGUGAGGGCAAUAAGGGUGGCUGUGAAAGAACCUCUCAUCCAGGAAAUCUCAAAACACUGUUGCCAGCCAAUCUGAUUACACUCAUUUUUCUGAUGGAGGAGAGUGUCUUUUCUGGGAGUGAAGUCAAU
This 626-nucleotide long non-coding RNA is filed under the name Homo sapiens (human). Its description in RNAcentral is "HSALNT0133867". Lineage: Eukaryota; Metazoa; Chordata; Mammalia; Primates; Hominidae. The record is from RNAcentral.